RNAcentral lists this ribosomal RNA (765 nucleotides) under uncultured Streptococcus sp. RNAcentral's name for it is "bacterial SSU rRNA". It matches the Rfam family "Bacterial small subunit ribosomal RNA", at positions 28 to 776 of the family's 1533-position model. Lineage: Bacteria; Bacillati; Bacillota; Bacilli; Lactobacillales; Streptococcaceae. The record is from RNAcentral.
GACGAACGCUGGCGGCGUGCCUAAUACAUGCAAGUAGAACGCUGAAGAGAGGAGCUUGCUCUUCUUGGAUGAGUUGCGAACGGGUGAGUAACGCGUAGGUAACCUGCCUUGUAGCGGGGGAUAACUAUUGGAAACGAUAGCUAAUACCGCAUAACAAUGGAUGACUCAUGUCAUUUAUUUGAAAGGGGCAAAUGCUCCACUACAAGAUGGACCUGCGUUGUAUUAGCUAGUAGGUGAGGUAACGGCUCACCUAGGCGACGAUACAUAGCCGACCUGAGAGGGUGAUCGGCCACACUGGGACUGAGACACGGCCCAGACUCCUACGGGAGGCAGCAGUAGGGAAUCUUCGGCAAUGGGGGCAACCCUGACCGAGCAACGCCGCGUGAGUGAAGAAGGUUUUCGGAUCGUAAAGCUCUGUUGUAAGUCAAGAACGAGUGUGAGAGUGGAAAGUUCACACUGUGACGGUAGCUUACCAGAAAGGGACGGCUAACUACGUGCCAGCAGCCGCGGUAAUACGUAGGUCCCGAGCGUUGUCCGGAUUUAUUGGGCGUAAAGCGAGCGCAGGCGGCUUGAUAAGUCUGAAGUUAAAGGCUGUGGCUCAACCAUAGUUCGCUUUGGAAACUGUCAAACUUGAGUGCAGAAGGGGAGAGUGGAAUUCCAUGUGUAGCGGUGAAAUGCGUAGAUAUAUGGAGGAACACCGGUGGCGAAAGCGGCUCUCUGGUCUGUAACUGACGCUGAGGCUCGAAAGCGUGGGGAGCGAACAGG